CUCAAAUUUGAAAUCUGGCUCUCUUUGGGGGUCCGAGUUGUAAUUUGCAGAGGAUGCUUUGGCAUUGGCGGCGGUCUAAGUUCCUUGGAACAGGACAUCACAGAGGGUGAGAAUCCCGUACGUGGUCGCCUGCCUUUGCCGUGUAAAGCUCCUUCGACGAGUCGAGUUGUUUGGGAAUGCAGCUCUAAAUGGGAGGUAAAUUUCUUCUAAAGCUAAAUACUGGCCAGAGACCGAUAGCGCACAAGUAGAGUGAUCGAAAGAUGAAAAGUACUUUGGAAAGAGAGUCAAAAAGCACGUGAAAUUGUUGAAAGGGAAGCGCUUGCAGCCAGACUUGCCCGCAGUUGCUCACCUAGGCUUUGGCCUGGGGCACUCUUCUGCGGGCAGGCCAGCAUCAGUUUGGGCGGUUGGAUAAAGGCCUCUGUCACGUAUCUCCCUUCGGGGUGACCUUAUAGGGGAGGCGCAAUGCAACCAGCCCGGACUGAGGUCCGCGCAUCUGCUAGGAUGCUGGCGUAAUGGCUGUAAGCGGCCCGUCUUGAAACACGGACCAAGGAGUCUAACAUCUAUGCGAGUGUUUGGGUGUCAAGCCCGAGCGCGCAAUGAAAGUGAACGGAGGUGGGAACCCUUUGGGUGCACCAUCGACCGAUCCUGAUGUCUUCGGAUGGAUUUGAGUAAGAGCAUAGCUGUUGGGACCCGAAAGAUGGUGAACUAUGCUUGAAUAGGGUGAAGCCAGAGGAAACUCUGGUGGAGGCUCGCAGCGGUUCUAACGUGCAGGUCGAUCGU
RNAcentral lists this ribosomal RNA (780 nucleotides) under Curreya sp. 799_1_CZ02. RNAcentral describes it as "eukaryotic LSU rRNA". It matches the Rfam family "Eukaryotic large subunit ribosomal RNA", at positions 108 to 905 of the family's 3401-position model. The record is from RNAcentral. Lineage: Eukaryota; Fungi; Ascomycota; Dothideomycetes; Pleosporales; Cucurbitariaceae.